GCUCAUUUUACCCCUGCAGUUAGAACCCUGUGCUUGUGACAGCAAUGAGAUUUCCAAGGUAACCAAGGACAACAGAGUAGAGAAUUAUGGCCCCGGAAGGAAGCAGAUUAAAUUGUAAUACUUACGAGUCAACAUCAAAUUUAUUUUUAAAACCACGUAUCUAACAAAAGCCAAAUAGGCAAGGCAGCAUGGAUGGUGUUUUACAGGAGGACUGAACUAUCAACAUGAAUAUUCCAAAUUCCAUCCAGUUGCAGCAGCAGACUUUGCUAAAAAUGUGCACAAUAAUUACUUCACCCAGAGAAAGUGAUCACCAGGCGAGACAACACACUGGUUAAAAAAAAACAAAACAACAACAACAA
Long non-coding RNA from Acinonyx jubatus (cheetah), 359 nucleotides. RefSeq lists it as uncharacterized. The transcript is spliced from 2 exons. The record is from RefSeq and is a predicted model, not a curated record. NCBI's taxonomy places the organism in Eukaryota, Metazoa, Chordata, Mammalia, Carnivora, Felidae.